CUCUUUGUUGGGAAAUGAAUCAAGUGUUAAAGAUGAAAUUCGCUUUAAUCCUCCUGUUUGGAUUUAUUGGAAUUAAUAAUGCUAUUGAGACUGAUCAGCCUGAAGUGAUGGAACCUUCAAAU
Molecule: long non-coding RNA, 122 nt
Organism: Centruroides sculpturatus (bark scorpion)
Lineage: Eukaryota; Metazoa; Arthropoda; Arachnida; Scorpiones; Buthidae
Exons: 3
Source: RefSeq, a predicted model, not a curated record